UACGUAGGGUGCGAGCGUUAAUCGGAAUUACUGGGCGUAAAGCGUGCGCAGGCGGUUCGUUGUGUCGGCGGUGAAAGCCCCGGGCUUAACCUGGGAAUGGCCGUUGAAACUGGCGAACUGGAGUGUGGCAGAGGGGGGUGGAAUUCCGCGUGUAGCAGUGAAAUGCGUAGAUAUCGGGAAGAACACCAGUGGCGAAGGCGGCUGCCUGGCCUGUAACUGACGCUGAGACGCGAAAGCGUGGGGAGCGAACCGG
Molecule: ribosomal RNA, 253 nt
Filed under: uncultured bacterium
Lineage: Bacteria
Description: partial 16S ribosomal RNA
Rfam family: Bacterial small subunit ribosomal RNA
Source: RNAcentral